AGAGUUUGAUCCUGGCUCAGGAUGAACGCUAGCGGCAGGCUUAACACAUGCAAGUCGAGGGGCAGCAUGAGACGGAGAUUCGUCGAAGUCUUGAUGGCGACCGGCGCAAGGGUGCGUAACGCGUGAGCAACUUGCCCGUUUCAGGGGGAUAACCGGUGGAAACGCCGACUAAUACCCCAUAGUAUCACUUUAAGGCAUCUUUUAGUGAUUAAAGAACUUCGGAAACGGAUAGGCUCGCGUGACAUUAGCUAGAUGGCGGGGUAACGGCCCACCAUGGCGACGAUGUCUAGGGGUUCUGAGAGGAAGGUCCCCCACACUGGAACUGAGACACGGUCCAGACUCCUACGGGAGGCAGCAGUGAGGAAUAUUGGUCAAUGGUCGAAGGACUGAACCAGCCAUGCCGCGUGAAGGUGACGGCCCUAUGGGUCUUAAACUUCUUUUGUAAGGGAGCAAUAAGACUUACGUGUAAGUUGAUGAGAGUACCUUACGAAUAAGCAUCGGCUAACUCCGUGCCAGCAGCCGCGGU
Molecule: ribosomal RNA, 526 nt
Filed under: uncultured bacterium
Lineage: Bacteria
Description: bacterial SSU rRNA
Rfam family: Bacterial small subunit ribosomal RNA
Source: RNAcentral